UUUUUUUUUUUUUUAAGGGUUGCACUUGCAGCAUAUGGAAGUUCCCAGGCUAGGAGUCGAACUGGAGCUACAGCUGCUGGCCUACACCACAGCUCACGGCAACACCAGAUCUUUAACCCACUGAGCAAGGUCAGAGAUUGAACUGCAUCCUCAUGGAUACUAGUCAGGUUUGUUACCACUGGGAGCCACAACGGGAACACCCUAAUAAAUCUUUUUAAAAGUUAAUGAAGGAAUAUGAGAUCCUUGAAUUCCAAUCAACUACUGUACAUCACUUCAAGCAAACACAUCUUUUACUCAAUUCAAAAUCCAAAUGCAAUAAAAAUUAUCUUCCCAGUUGGGAUAGAAAUAGGUGUCACAAAUUUAGAUACUCUGCUCACAAGCAGCCAUAUGGAGAUAUCUUCAGGACGUGGAGACAGAGGAGGGGAAGGAAAACCAUAUGACUUUCCCCAUCUCACAGCUGGUUGGUAGAGGGGGAAUAACGAGAGCUCCAAGCCUCGGGCUCCCAUUUAGUGACCCUGCUUUUUUUUCAAUUUUAUUUUUGACCAUGCCCACAGCAUACAGGAGUUCCUGGGUCCCGUUUUUUCAACACUGCCACAGACAGGACCUGUUAAUGCAGCAUCAUUCAUAAAAUGAAUCUCACUGUCCUAAUAGGUUUAUUUAUCUAGCUUCCCCUUGAAACCUUGGAAUUUUUGGUAGCUUAUAACCAUAGUUCAUGAAGAGCAGCAGAUUAUAAAAUGGUGGGAGUGGUUUGAGAAGCUAGCACCCUGAAAAGUAAGAUUACAGAGCUAUAAAACAGUGUGUGUGUUCAAACAUUCUGGAAGAAGUUAAGGUCGAUGCAAACAGUUCAACACUUUCCUAAUUCAUCUGGCAAAUACUUAACUGAGCUCCUACUGAAUGUCAGGGAUUGUUGUAGCUGCUAAGGACAUAGCAGUGAACAGAACAGCCAAAGGCACUUCCCGCAAGAUGACGUUCUAGUCAUGGAAAAUAGACAAUAAGUAAAUUUAAAAAUCCAUGUAUUGGGUAGAAAUAAAUGUCUUAAAGAAGGAGGAAGUCAAUAAAGGAAGAGGAUGAAGGAAGCAGGGCAGCUACCAUUUUAGACAGAACCGCUAGAGAAGAUGUUCUAAAGAAGUGACACUUGAACAAGUGACACAGCAAACCAGACAAAGAUUUCUGAGGACAGCAUUCCAGGCAGGUGUAGUAAGGAGCCCAAAGCAAGAGUAUGAUCACUGAGCUUGAGAAAUAGCAAGGAAUGUGACUGGAAGGGCAUAAGAAGCAAGAGAAGAUGGAAUAGAGGACUACCAGGGCCGGGUCAUUCAGGGCAAGGUAAGGACUUGGGAAUUUCUUCUCUUCAUGACAGGAAGGCUACAAGCAGGGGAAGGUAUCAUCCUUUCUGUUUUCAAAGGAUCACCCUGCUGCUGAUAGAGACCAAUUAGAAGACUACCUCAAGGUAACAUAUGAUGGUACCUUGGACAAGGAUAGUAUCAACUGAAAGUGUUGAGAAGUGGUUAGAUUACAGUUGUAUUUUGAAAGUAGAGUCAAAAGGAUCUGCUAACGGAGGACAUGUGGCAUAUGAGUGAAAGAGAAGAGCGAGGACUGACUCCAAAGCUUUGAUCUGAGAAACAGGAGAAAUGGAAAUACCAUUUGGUAACAUCCAGAAUUCUUGGCAAGAAUUAGGCAUUGGAGGAAAAUCAAUAGUCCUAUUUAAAUUAUUUAUUUUGAUAUGCCUGUUAGAUACUCAAAUAAACAUAAUGAGUAGGCUGUCUGGAAUUUAGGGGAGACAUGAGAGCUACACAUAUAAAUCUGAGAGUUAUCAAUAGCUGGGGUUUUUUUAUGGCUUUGGCCAUAUAAUUGGGUGAAAUAAUCUAGGAAAGAUGUAUGAACAGAGAGGAGAUUGUCCACUCCAAUAGCUCAACUUUGGUAAGAUGAGGAAGAUUCAAAAAAGGACACAGAAGAGAGGAUGCCAGCGAAGGGGAAAACAAGGUGAGUGUAGACUCUUAGAACCCAAGUAAUGAAGUCUUUUCAGGAAAAGAGAGUGAUCAGUUGUGUUAAAUGUGUUCAAGAGUCAAGGCAGAUAAGGACAUGAUUUUAGCUACUGCAUCCAGCUGCUAAGCAUAAUCCCAUAACUGACUUUAGAAGUAAAGGAUUCCAGUUCUUGGAGAAACUUAGAAAUUAACCCCUAAUUUACAUGUGAGAAAAAUCAAGGCCCAUAUUAAGUGAUUUGUUCAAGUAAUAGUGUUAAUUUGUUAUAACCAGAUCUCCUGACUCUGUGCUUUUUAAUGUAUCACUUUUCUACCUUCCAGAUACUCCAAAUAAUUAUCCUGAGUCAUCUAUGUCCAAGUCAAAAACGGUUUGGCUAUAUUCUGUCCACUCUGCUUAAGAAAGCUGAAAAUACAAGAUUUCCUCACAGGAAAAGUUGAGAGUUUUUUUUAAAAAAAGCUUUCUUGGUUCUCGCCUACAAAAUUUAUUUGAGCAAAGCAGCUUGUUCUCUGGCAACACCCAAUAAAUUACAAGUUAUCGUUUAAAGAAAAAAGUUGCAAAUUUGAUGAACAAUUUUAAAUAGUUCUGCUUUUUCUUCUCUGCUGCACUCUAUGUCCAAGGAAGUUACAACCACUAGCAAAGAAUCAGCUUCAAGAAUAUUAUGAGCGGAGUUCCUGUUGUGGCUCAGGGGAAACGAAUCUGACUAGCACCCAUGAGGACUUGGGUUCGAUCCCUGGCCUCUCUCAGUUGGGGUUAGGAUCUGGUGUUGCCAUAAGCUGUGGUGUAGUUCGCAGAUGCAGCUCAGAUCUGGUGUUGCUAUGGCUGUGGUAUAGGCCAGCAGCUCCGAUUUGACCCUUAGCCUGGGAACUUUCAUAUGUCAUGGGUGUGGCCCUAAAGAGACAAAAAAAAAAAAAUGUUAUGAGUAAGGCCAAGAAUAAUCUCCAAAAACUAGAGGGCUGGGGAAAAAGAAAUUUUUUCACAUAAUUUAAACGUUCAAAUCCAAAUCAAAUCUGGUAAAAUCAGGGUCUAUGAUUUCCUAUGAUUUUUGGCUAUGACUAUAUAACCAGUUUCCCAACUAUUAUCUUAAUAGCGUUAUAAGUCAUAUUAUAAGGCUGAUCAUUGAUUUACACUGCAGGUUAUUAAAGCAUGUUUAGAUAGUAUGGUUCAUUUUAUCCUGCCCCUUUUAGUUUCAAUAUUAUAUAAAUUCAGGAAGUUCCUGUUAUGGCUCAGCAGUAGAGAACCCGACAAGUAUCCAUGAGGAUGUGGGUUCUGUCCCUGGCCUUGCUCAGUGGGUUAAGGUUACAGUGUUGCCAUAAGCUGCUGGUGUAGUUCACAGACUUGGCGUGGAUCUGGCGUUGCUGUGACUGUGGUGUAGUCCAGCAACUGCAGCUCCAAUUCAUCUGGGAACUUCCAUAUGCCACAGGUGCAGUCAUAAAAAGCAAAACAAACAAACAAAGAAAAAACGUAAUAUAAAUUCACCAUUGCUUCCAACAUUAUUUUUCUUUCUGGGACUCUGGUUUACUUUUCUGAUUGUCCAGGUAGGCUGGAAUUGGCAAAAAUUUAAAUUGGUAUAAAAGUACUGAGGUCAUAAACUGGGAAGUCUCCACUUUACUUAAUGUACUUAGUCUGCAAUUCUGUUUGAAAAGGGUGGGUGCAUCCAAUCUGACAAAAAAGAUGUUCAGAUACUUCUGCUUUCCCAUGAACACUUUACAUUAGAGAAAUAUGUUGUCUUUUCCCAAAAAAAAAAAUCUUUUGUCAUAGAAGCCUCUCUACCUAAACUUAUAACUUCCUAUGCCAUUGCUCUUUGCAUCAGACAUAGUAAAUAUGUCUUGUUCACUCCAUUGGUCAUGAAGAAGAAGCCUGGUGAUCACACUGGCACAUUAGUGGUGGAAGAGCAAACACACUGCUUAUCAUAAGUUUAGUCACCACUAUGUACUGCUCACUGUAGCAAGUACUUUAUAUACAUGCAUCUCAUUUACCCUUUAUAAUCGGCCUUCAGGCAGUUCUUUUAUCUCCACUGCAGAAACAUGGAGACUGAGGCUUGGUGAGCUUCAGUGAUUUGCUCAAGAACACAGCUGACUGGGAGUUCCCUUGUGGCUCAGUGGGUUAAGGAUGUGGCAUUGUCACUGCAGCAGUUCAGGUUGCUGCUGUGGCACAGGUUCGAUCCCUGGCCUGGGAUCUUCCACAUGCUGGGAGCGUGUGCCCUUAAGUUCAUGAUAUUUCCUAGUUUAGCAUGCUUAUUCAUCAAUAUUGGGAAAGAAUAUUUCAAUGAAACGAAGAAAAAUUUUUGCAGGUGUGUAGAAUAUAUUCGCAUUUUGAAAUGGAGAUUGCUCGGUAUUUUCAAUUUUUUCAUUCUCCAUACUGAUCUUUUUGCACUAAUCUCAUCUUUCCUUGAAGUUACCCAUUUGCAUGGUCUGACUUUGCCUUUCUCCUGCCUUGAGUUAUACUAUCAGUUCCACUUGCCCAUAUCUACAGGGAUCUAAUUGGUUUUCUAUCUCAUGGGCCACCUGAUAGGGACAGCUUACAGUAUUCUGUAUGAACAAAGGGGCAAGAAACAUACAAAUGUUGCGUUCCAUGGCCUUUACAAGGGGAACAAUAGUCUUAAACCACUGAAGCCCAGACAGUCUGGUAGCAGCUGGUGAUAUUUAAAAGGAAAAGUCAGAAUUUGUACUUUUUGUGUAGAAGUUUCAAAAAACGGUCUCACUGAGACAACUCAGGCAUCUUGUGGGAACAUGACGAUGUUAUUACUGAUAUCAUUAGUGCUGGUCUGUGCCUUCCUGCUUAAUCCAAGGAUCAGCCAGCCAGCCUGGUAUCAGGCUGUCCCAACCCAGCUGCUCCCCUCCCUCUGUUCUUAGCCUUACCAAUAACUGCUACUUGGGAAAAUGAUUUUCCACCAAUCCCUCCCAGGAUGUAACAUUAAGGUUAUAAGGAGAGGGGCAGCUGGCUCGGUGGAGCCAUGAUGAAAGUCUAGGGGAAGCAAGAUAAAAACAAAUUGUUUUUAAGGAAGGAGAAAAUAUCUCAGCAAAGAGACUCUGGUAAAAACCAAUUUGCUCCACUGGUCAAUGUAGAGAUUGAAAGAAAUACUGCCACAAAUAUUUGCUAACUACUGCAUUUAAUUAGAGUAACCUUGGUGACAAAAACCACAAUCCACUAUUAAAGGCUUGUGUGUAAAAUCCUGGAAAGGAGAUCAGUAUUUUAUAAUAACAUGACCAGUUUUUUUUGUUUGUUUGGUUGGUUUUGUUUUUGUUUUUGUUUUUUUUGGUCUUUUUGUUUUUUUAGGACUGCACACGCAGCAUAUGGAGGUUCCCAGGCUAGGUAGGGGUCCAAUUGGAGCCGUUGUUGCCAGCCUAUGCCACAGCCACAGCAACUCAGGAUCCAAGCUUUGUCUGCAACCUACACCACAGCUCACAGCAACGCCAGAUCUUUAACCCACUGAGCAAGGCCAGGGAUCAAACCUGCAACCUCAUGGUUCCUAGUCAGAUUCGUUUCCACUGAGCCAUGACGGGAACUCCAACAUGACAAGCUUUUUAAAGAAGAAAUUAGGAAUAGGGGAAAAGGGUACUUGUCACCAUCCUUGCCAGGGUAUGUUUCCUCUACUUGCUUUGCUAAAAUGGUUUCUGUCUUUCAUUAGAAUUAGAAAUUUCACUUGAUUCAUUUGAUCUUUAGCUGCAUCUAUAUAUUUAUCCACUCAGAAAUAUUUAAUAUUUUGUUAUCCCUUAUAUAAAUAUUUAAUAAUAUUUUGUUAUCUCUUAUGUAUACUAGGUUCUGGGCUAAGGAAAUAAUUCUACACCAGUCAUUAUACACAAAUAAUUAUAAUGCAAGAUAAAAUGGGAUCAAGUGGCAUCAGAGAAAUAGGAACUACCCUCAAACCAAAGAAGGUAGAAAUAUACAUGGUACUCAGUGGAUGACAGACAGUUGCCAUGAGAGGCCUAAAGUGUAAUGGCUAAGGGCACAUACUGAGAACCAAGCAUCAACCUGGCUCCUCUGUUAAUUGGCUCAUCACCUGGGAUGGUUUUCUUGCCUUCUCAAAGAUAGAAUUUCCUCAUGCCUAAAAAGGAGACAAAAUGCUUCAGAGGUUGAUCAUGACGAGUAACUGAAAUCAUCUAAGUUAAGAGACUUGCACAGUGCCUGGUCCAGAGCAAGUGCAGAAGAAACUUGCUAGUAUUAUUGUGCUCAACGUAUCUGUUGGGAUCAUCAGGUUUAACCACUAAAGUGUGGCUUUGACUAAUACAGGCAAAUAAUCAAAUGAAAAGGAAUGGAUUGAUAAUUCAGGGGGAUAGCUUAGAGACUCAAGAAAAAGAGUUCUUGAAGGAACAGGAAUUCCAGGCUGAAUCAGGGAUCUACUAAUAGGAAUGAAGGAAGAGUGUUGGUAGGAGACACUGUCACUGUUUCUCAAUCCUGUUAUCACUUGGCUCAGAUUUACAUUCCGGGGAGAAAAUACAAGAUUGGCCUACCUUCUGGACACAGGAUUAGUCACAGCCACCUCUUGGAUAGGGAAAGGAGGGGUAAAGAGUCAGAGAAGUCUUCUUAGAAGCUGUGGUAUAUUUCAGGCAAGGGGAAGAGACAAGGGAAUAUUGAUAGUGAAAAGUCUAAGGCUAAGGAGGUAAAACUGAGCAGCAACAUCACUACUGGUAGGAGGGUGAAAUCUGCCUAAAAAUGUGGUCAGGGAGAGAGAAGACUCUGAUGAGGGAGGGCUGAAUUUUCCAGGGAGAUCUGCAAAGCCAACAAGAGUUCAGCAUUGGUGUGAUAGGAACUUAGAGGCCACUGAAGGGAUCUGAGGAAGAUUAAACACAGAUUACUGUAGGUUUCACAUACUGAAACCUACAGUAGUAGGUUGGGUAGUGUUGGGUAGAGUAAUUUGGAAAGGGGAGAAAAGAAAGCAGUUUAGCCUCCAGAAUUCUGCAUGAGAUGACGAAAUGCUAGACUAGGGUGGUGACAUCGCGAUAGGACCAAAAGGUUUAAGUAAGAAAGACGGUGCCUUUUUUCAGUGAAAAAGAAUUCUUCAAAAAUCAAUAGGAUAGCUGGAAUCAAAAUAUCAGACCGUAACCAGAGUUGGAAAGAAUGUAAAGAAAAUGGAACCCUCAUUAUGUGGCUGGGGGUCAUGAAAAAUAGUACAACUACUUUAGAGAACAGUCUGGUCCUUUCUCAAACGCUUAAUCUCAGUUACUAUAUGAUUGAGCAAUUCUACUCCUCAAUAUAUGCCUAAGUAAAAUUAAAACAUAUGUCCACAGAGACAGAUAUACACGAGUGUCUAGAAUGUCAUUAUUCCUGACAACCAAAGAAUGGAUACAAUUGAAAUGCCCAUCGACUUAAGAACGGAUAAUCAAAAUGUGGUAUAUCCAGCCAAUGGAACAUUAUCUGGCCAUAAAAAGGAAUGAGGUACUGUAUAUGCUACAACACAGAUGAAACUUGAAAACAUUAGCUUAAGUGAAAGAAACCAGUCACAAAAACCAUGCUGCAUAAUUUAUUUAUAUGAAAGCCCAGAGUAGGCAAAUCUUUAGAGACACAAAAUAGAGUAGUAGUUGCUUACGGCCAGGGUUUGGGACAGGAAUGGGGGAGUAAAGAGGUGACAGCUAAACAGAACAGACC
RNAcentral lists this long non-coding RNA (7566 nucleotides) under Sus scrofa (pig). RNAcentral describes it as "lncRNA (ENSSSCG00055009022.1)". The record is from RNAcentral. Lineage: Eukaryota; Metazoa; Chordata; Mammalia; Artiodactyla; Suidae.